GAUGAACGCUGGCGGCGUGCUUAACACAUGCAAGUCGAACGGAAAGGCCAGUGCUUGCACUGGUACUCGAGUGGCGAACGGGUGAGUAACACGUGGGUGAUCUGCCCUGUACUUCGGGAUAAGCUUGGGAAACUGGGUCUAAUACCGGAUAGGACAACUUUUUGGAUAUUGUUGUGGAAAGCUUUUGCGGUAUGGGAUGAGCUCGCGGCCUAUCAGCUUGUUGGUGGGGUAAUGGCCUACCAAGGCGUCGACGGGUAGCCGGCCUGAGAGGGUGUAGAGACGCACUGGAACUGAAAGACGGCCCAGACUCGUACGGGAGGGAGCAGGGGGGAAUAUUGCACAAUGGGAGCAAGCCUGAUGCAGCGACGCCGCGUGGGGGAUGAAGGCCUUCGGGUUGUAAACACCUUUCGCUAGGGACGAAGCUUUUUUGUGACGGUACCUGGAGAAGAAGCACCGGCUAACUACGUG
RNAcentral lists this ribosomal RNA (468 nucleotides) under uncultured bacterium. Its description in RNAcentral is "partial 16S ribosomal RNA". It matches the Rfam family "Bacterial small subunit ribosomal RNA", at positions 28 to 507 of the family's 1533-position model. The record is from RNAcentral.